Molecule: ribosomal RNA, 466 nt
Filed under: uncultured bacterium
Lineage: Bacteria
Description: bacterial SSU rRNA
Rfam family: Bacterial small subunit ribosomal RNA
Source: RNAcentral
GACGAACGCUGGCGGCGCGCCUAACACAUGCAAGUCGAACGAGCAAAGAGGAGCUUGCUUCUCUGAGCGAGUGGCGAACGGGUGAGUAACGCGUGAGGAACCUGCCUCAAAGAGGGGGACAACAGUUGGAAACGACUGCUAAUACCGCAUAAGCCCACGGGUCGGCAUCGACCAGAGGGAAAAGGAGUAAUCCGCUUUGAGAUGGCCUCGCGUCCGAUUAGCUAGUUGGUGAGGUAAUGGCCCACCAAGGCGACGAUCGGUAGCCGGACUGAGAGGUUGAACGGCCACAUUGGGACUGAGACACGGCCCAGACUCCUACGGGAGGCAGCAGUGGGGAAUAUUGCACAAUGGGGGAAACCCUGAUGCAGCGACGCCGCGUGGAGGAAGAAGGUCUUCGGAUUGUAAACUCCUGUUGUUGGGGAAGAUGAUGACGGUACCCAACAAGGAAGUGACGGCUAACUACGUG